GGUUGCUCAUCAUUGUCUAUUGAAGGCCCAUUGCGCAAAGGUUCUCUCGUGAAUUCAUCAUAUAUCAUGCUGAAAGAAGUUGGAGGAGGGGUAGCCAAGAAGUUGAGACCAAUGUAAAAUCCUACAGCUAGUGCUAUAGUCAUCAUCGCAUAAGCUGGCGCAGCUAAUGCCCAGUACCUGCUUGGAUAGUAAACAAUUCCCAAAGAGUGCAACCAAUGUUCGGGAAGAUAUGCCCACACCAGAAAAAGAACUGUAGCAACAACAGUAGUAAUGGAGCCAACAAAUCCGUAAACUUCAGAAGUCUUGGGUCCCUGAUCUCCAGAAACACCAAAACCUGAAUCUCUGUCGUCUGGGUCUGGAAAGAACACAGUGGCCUUCCUAUUCUUGGAAAAACUCAAGAUCCUCCUAGGGCUAUUAACGGAACGAGGAUCUUCCCAACCUUUAUCUUCCAGCAUCACGAUAUCUAAGAAGGUCCAAGGUGUCACUCUGAGUAAGAAUUAUACCGAAUUACUUGAGCUGCUACGCAAUUUGAAGACAUCUCAGCUACUGAAAUUGAAAAGGAUAAGCAAAUUAUAGA
RNAcentral lists this unclassified non-coding RNA (577 nucleotides) under Hevea brasiliensis (rubber tree). The record is from RNAcentral. Lineage: Eukaryota; Viridiplantae; Streptophyta; Magnoliopsida; Malpighiales; Euphorbiaceae.